This is a long non-coding RNA of Octopus sinensis (East Asian common octopus), 103 nucleotides long. RefSeq lists it as uncharacterized. NCBI's taxonomy places the organism in Eukaryota, Metazoa, Mollusca, Cephalopoda, Octopoda, Octopodidae. The transcript has 3 exons. The record is from RefSeq and is a predicted model, not a curated record.
AACUUUCAGAAAAAUGGGUUUUUUUUUAAAUGACAUUUUCUACGAAUAUGUGUUAUAUCAUGUAGAUUGCGAAUAUACAAACUUUUGAGGGGAAAAUGAUUUC